AGUGAACGCUGGCGGUAGGCCUAACACAUGCAAGUCGAACGGCAGCACAGUAAGAGCUUGCUCUUACGGGUGGCGAGUGGCGGACGGGUGGGGAAUACAUCGGAAUCUACUUUUUCGUGGGGGAUAACGUAGGGAAACUUACGCUAAUACCGCAUACGACCUACGGGUGAAAGCAGGGGAUCUUCGGACCUUGCGCGUUUGAAUGAGCCGAUGUCGGAUUAGCUAGUUGGCGGGGUAAAGGCCCACCAAGGCGACGAUCCGUAGCUGGUCUGAGAGGAUGAUCAGCCACACUGGAACUGAGACACGGUCCAGACUCCUACGGGAGGCAGCAGUGGGGAAUAUUGGACAAAGGGCGAAAGCCUGAUCCAGCCAUACCGCGUGGGUGAAGAAGGCCUUCGGGUUGUAAAGCCCUUUUGUUGGGAAAGAAAAGCAGCAGGUUAAUACCCCGCUGUUCUGACGGUACCCAAAGAAUAAGCACCGGCUAACUUCGUG
This 492-nucleotide ribosomal RNA is filed under the name uncultured bacterium. RNAcentral describes it as "partial 16S ribosomal RNA". It matches the Rfam family "Bacterial small subunit ribosomal RNA", at positions 29 to 507 of the family's 1533-position model. The record is from RNAcentral.